GGAUUGUUCACCCACCAAUAGGGAACGUGAGCUGGGUUUAGACUGUCGUGAGAUAGGUUAGUUUUACCCUACUGAUGAUAGUGUUGCAAUAGUAGUUCAACCUAGUAUGAGAGGAACUGUUGAUUCGCACAAUUGGUCAUUGCGCUUGGUUGAAAAGCCAGGGGCGCGAAGCUGCCGUGUGCUGGAUUAUGACUAAACGCCUCUAAGUCAGAAUCCAGGCUAGAAGCGACACAUGCGCCCACCGCCCACUUGCCGACCCGCAGUAGGGGCCGUCCGGCCCCCAAAGGCACGUGUCCUUGGUGAAGCCCGCGCGGUGGAUGAGCCACGCGUGCCACCUUGAAGUACAAUUCCUAUCUCGGGCGGCGGGUAGAAUCCUUUGCAGAUGACUUAAAUAUGCGACGGGGUAUUGUAAGUGGCAGAGUGGCCUUGCUGCCACGAUACACUGAGAUUCAGCUCUGCGUCGCUCCGAUUCGUCCCUCCC
RNAcentral lists this ribosomal RNA (481 nucleotides) under Camellia fangchengensis. Its description in RNAcentral is "eukaryotic LSU rRNA". It matches the Rfam family "Eukaryotic large subunit ribosomal RNA", at positions 2926 to 3401 of the family's 3401-position model. The record is from RNAcentral. Lineage: Eukaryota; Viridiplantae; Streptophyta; Magnoliopsida; Ericales; Theaceae.